This 301-nucleotide ribosomal RNA is filed under the name uncultured bacterium. RNAcentral's name for it is "partial 16S ribosomal RNA". It matches the Rfam family "Bacterial small subunit ribosomal RNA", at positions 509 to 809 of the family's 1533-position model. The record is from RNAcentral.
CAGCCGCCGCGGUAAUACGAAGGGGGCUAGCGUUGCUCGGAUUUACUGGGCGUAAAGGGCGCGUAGGCGGACAGUUUAGUUGUGGGUGAAAGCCCGGGGCUCAACCUCGGAACUGCCUUCAAUACUGGCUGUCUUGAGUACGGGAGAGGUGAGUGGAACUCCGAGUGUAGAGGUGAAAUUCGUAGAUAUUCGGAAGAACACCAGUGGCGAAGGCGACUCACUGGCCCGUUACUGACGCUGAGGCGCGAAAGCGUGGGGAGCAAACAGGAUUAGAGACCCCGGUAGUCCCUGUCUCUUAUAA